UGCCAGACUCCUACGGGAGGCAGCAGUGAGGAAUAUUGGUCAAUGGGCGCGAGCCUGAACCAGCCAAGUCGCGUGAGGGAUGACGGCCCUACGGGUUGUAAACCUCUUUUGUCGGGGAGCAAAUUCCGUUACGUGUAACGGAGUCGAGAGUACCCGAAGAAAAAGCAUCGGCUAACUCCGUGCCAGCAGCCGCGGUAAUACGGAGGAUGCGAGCGUUAUCCGGAUUUAUUGGGUUUAAAGGGUGCGUAGGCGGACUGACAAGUCAGGGGAAAAAGACGGGGGCUAAACCUGCGUCCGCCGUUGAAACUGGCGUUCUUGAGUGGGCGAGAAGUACGCGGAAUGCGUGGUGUAGCGGUGAAAUGCAUAGAUAUCACGCAGAACCCCGAUUGCGAAGGCAGCGUACCGGCGCCCGACUGACGCUGAAGCACGAAAGCGUGGGUAUCGAACAGGAUUAGAUACCCGAGUA
This 466-nucleotide ribosomal RNA is filed under the name uncultured bacterium. RNAcentral's name for it is "bacterial SSU rRNA". It matches the Rfam family "Bacterial small subunit ribosomal RNA", at positions 329 to 792 of the family's 1533-position model. The record is from RNAcentral.